UUCCCAGUGCCUGCCUCAAGCUGCCUGUCCUCUCUUGGGAUCCACCCUGACCACACAAGCGGUUGUGGAGGUGCGUGGUGUGGAGCAGAAACUCCUGGUGGUGAUGUGGCCCUGGCCAGCUGAGGACAGCCUCUCCCAGCAUAACAAUAAGGUGGCCACAAGUGUCAUGAGGUGCAUUAUUGACACCAUCUAGAAGUAAAAGAACACUUCAGGUCUGAUCCUGGGCAGGGAGCUGCUCCUGUUGUUGGUCCCACUGGUGUUCAAUGGAGCUUCCUCUAGAUUUUGUGGUUUGCUUUGCCUGAUAGUUUUCUCCACCUAUGAGUGUUCUGUGCCCUUUGCUGCAGUGGUUUGCUUGGGGUGGCCCCAGCUCCCAACCCUCUGGAUCUUUGCAGUGGGAUAUUGUGUAUUUUCGACAUUGGUGGUCAUUCUGGAGGUUCCCGUCAGCAAAGGGGGAAGUCCUAAUUUUCAGGCCGAGGAUAGAAACUGAGGUUGAGGGUUGUUAUGGGAAAAAUUUGGCUGCAGAACCUGUCUGGGAGGCGCAGCAUCAACCUGGUUGAAAACCGACAGCAACGGCACCUGGAAGGAAUUUUUGGAAGCCUGCUUGUUCUCUGCAGAGUAGAAGCGCUCCUGUGCCAGGUUUGUGCCCCGAUUGCUCCCCUUAGGGCUCAGGGGACCUUUUGGCGUCAAGAGAGGCUGUUGAGAUGGGCUGGAAGACCUCAGUGCUGCUUUGCAGGUAUCUUCACCAGACCUGGGCAAGGAUUUCAGCAGGUGGUUUAGUAGGCGCGCCCCAAGGCUCUUGUCCAUCCACUCACAGGGAUGAGCAUUUCUUCUGGAGGAACCAAAAGGUGUAGGAAGUCCAGGGACAUAAUCACUUGUGGGUAGUAAAACCAGGGCCCUGACAGGAUGAAGAACAGCCAGGACCUGUGAGAAGGUGGGUGACACUCCAUAGGCCGGGAUCUGGGAAGAGGAAAAGCAGUUUUGGCUUCUCCAUAAUGAGGCACAUAAAAAUACUAACAAACCCCCCGCUAUCACAAUCCUUUUUUUCUUUCUUGUCUAUUUUUGGGGUUGCUCUGUCAAAAAAAACAAGAGGCCAUGGCACACAUGAGCUCCCUAAUUUUCCAGAAUAAUACCUGCGACCAGCUGGGUGUCUUCUUGUGUUUCCAAGGUGAUGUUUCUUCCAUCUCCUCAUUCCAGGUACAUAUAUGUGCACAUGUGCAGACAGCGAUACAACUUCACACUUGCACACGGACAAUUUUCACGAGAUACAAUUUUGCCAUAGAAUGUAACUAAACUCUCUUUUGAAGGUGUGUCCUGCUGAGCUGGGGGGAAGGAGCUCAGCCCUUCCCCAAAGCAGCGCCUGAUUGAAGGUGGGGACAGGCAGAGAGCUCUGGAGUGCCCUCCUCCUCAGGAGCCGGGGAUCUCAUCAGGAGAAGGAGAGGCCCCGAAAAGCUUUGGAGGAUGGCCAUGUAGGUGACAGAGGAGCACCUCUAUCCCAUUGCAUGGUGAGGGGGGACCUUCUGCCACAGCAGGAUAUUGGGGAGAGGAGGAAACACCCUUCAAAGGGAAAGGGCACGUGUGUCCUACUGAAUUACAACUCUGGAAAAGAGGAAGGAUAAACCAGGCGAUGAAUUACUGGGCCUCAUGGAGAGCCAAGGGCAGCCAGCCCUGGAGAGUCAGCUGCUGCCACAGCAUUCCAUGUGGGCACAGCCACUCUGCGGGAGGUACAGUCCAAAGGAAGAAAAGAGGGAUGGCUGCAGGUGUGAUCAGAAGCAUUUUUCCAUGCCUGAGCUGUAGCACACAGCUGACUGAGAUGGCUGGUCCAAGAAGACCCCCAAGAGGUCAAGAGGCAGCUUUGCCCAUUGACACCACUUGCCCUCAGUACAGCAGAGAACCACAACACGUGGAUUUCAGAGCAGCAACAUCCUGCCUGCAGGAAAACAUUACUGUGUGGAGGAGCCUGACCCAAACCCUCCCCAGCAACAUGACAAGGAAGUGCAGGAAGGGGAUGUGAAGACACGUAAUCAAAAAAAAAAGCUGAAGACAGAAGCUGUCGGCUCACGAGGAGCUUACAGAUGUUUUGGGAAAGCAGGCCAGCAGGUCUCACACUGAUGCACGGCAGUACUGAGGCAGACCCGCUGGGACGAGGUUUUGCCUCGUGGCUUGUAAGACAUUCAUGACAUACAUUCCAUUAAAAAUGCAUUUUUCUUCUUUAAA
This is a long non-coding RNA of Pipra filicauda (Wire-tailed manakin), 2214 nucleotides long. RefSeq lists it as uncharacterized. The record is from RefSeq and is a predicted model, not a curated record. Lineage: Eukaryota; Metazoa; Chordata; Aves; Passeriformes; Pipridae. The transcript has 7 exons.